This is a long non-coding RNA of Eriocheir sinensis (Chinese mitten crab), 785 nucleotides long. RefSeq lists it as uncharacterized. Lineage: Eukaryota; Metazoa; Arthropoda; Malacostraca; Decapoda; Varunidae. The record is from RefSeq and is a predicted model, not a curated record. The transcript has 4 exons.
GUAUUCCAACAGCUGUAACAAAGGCGCAUCGCUCGCCUUCUUAGUGUGGGAGCGGCGUGGCGUCCUGCCAGGUGGGAGGUUCUGUGUCCUUCGUCCUCCCAGAGCCUCGGCAAGGACUAAGAAGCCCUGGAGGAGGAGAGGCGACCGCCCGUGACCACUUGAGAUUCUGUUCUUCCGAGGAGGGACCAUUAGUCAUUCUCAGUGACGGCCCAUGAAGAAGGUGCGGGGUUGAGAAUACUCUAUAAAAGAACAUUCCCCGCAGACCAGCUCCAAGGGCCGACGCCGACAAUGCCGGUCUGACGACGAGGACUGGCGUGUGUCUAGCUCCCCACCCCCCUCCGACCCGAGCUGGAAUAUAUGGGCCGGAGGUUGUGGUAAGCUCCGACCCCGCAGAAUCACAAGGAGUCAAGCUUAUAAGUUCGGGGUCUGAAGGCCUUGGGAUACUCACCUUCAGCAGUGGCAGACCACCACCCUUGGGAGGCAGGACACAACCCCUGGCUGACACCCGGCAUCCAUUCACUGCUGAAUUAACGUGGGUACAGGGCUAAGGAGAUUGCCUGUCCCUCUCACUCCAUCCAGGAAUCAAACACAGGACCUUUUGCUUCUGAGCUCAGCCUGCUAACCACUGCAUCAUGCCUGCAUAUGCCUAUGAUAGGGACAACCCACUCCCACAUUCCAGUCAGGAGGAAUGGUACCAGACUGCCACAUGGUGGACAGCACUGCAUGAUGCAACCCAUGGAUCAUGGCUUAACCCCCAGCUUUCAACACCUCUGCACUGAUAUUAC